RNAcentral lists this transfer RNA (85 nucleotides) under Deltaproteobacteria bacterium. RNAcentral describes it as "tRNA-Leu". It matches the Rfam family "tRNA". Rfam says of the family: Transfer RNA (tRNA) molecules are approximately 80 nucleotides in length. Their secondary structure includes four short double-helical elements and three loops (D, anti-codon, and T loops). Lineage: Bacteria; Pseudomonadati; Myxococcota; Myxococcia. The record is from RNAcentral.
GCCGCGGUGGUGGAACUGGUAGACACACCAUCUUGAGGGGGUGGCGCCGAGAGGCAUGCGAGUUCGAGUCUCGCCCGCGGCACCA